AUUUGUGACAAUGGCACGUUGAAAGCACGACAUCUCGUCGGGUCUGUCAAGUUAAGCAACGUUGGGGCCUGGUUAGUACUUGGAUCGGAGACGGCCUGGGAAUCCCCAGGUGUUGUAGACA
This 121-nucleotide ribosomal RNA is filed under the name Brugia malayi. Lineage: Eukaryota; Metazoa; Nematoda; Chromadorea; Rhabditida; Onchocercidae. The record is from RNAcentral.